UCAUGCCUUUGGACUUCGCUACUGUGAUGCCAAGCGGAUGCCUUGGGGGUGGGACUACUCAGGUUCCUCCAACCUGGGAGAGCUGAAGCUCCUGCUGGAGGAAGCGGUCAUGCUGCGGCGCCUCAAGUCAGACGUCCUUUCCCAGCUGCCUGCCAAGCAGCGCAAGAUAGUGGUGAUUGCCCCAGGACGGAUCAAUGCCAGGACCAGAGCUGCCCUGGAUGCUGCAGCCAAGGAAAUGACCACCAAGGACAAAACUGUGAGUCCAGGGCUGGAGACAGAUUUGGAAGCAGAUGUGUCUAGGUGUUCCUUUCCACGAGGGGCCCUUGAAAAUGACCUGGCAUUCUCUCAGCUUUCCUUUCUGUAAUCUUUUCCCUCUUCCCUAGGCAAGAAGAGCAAGUCCAUUUCAUUCCUCAGCCUACCUAGUCAGUUUUGAAAAAUCUCUUUAUUAAUUUAUGGUUUUAUACUUGUAUAGAUUGCUGUUGAUGGAUGGCCGUAAAGAUAAGCACAGGCAACAGCAGGGUGGUGAUCAAUAUUCCGAAUCCCUCAAAGAAUGUGGAAAUUAUGUCUACUAUAUAUUGAGAAUGCAUCAGUCUAGUAACAGUUGUUAGAAAAUUAGUCCUAACAUGUUUGAUACAUAUGUUAAUCCUUUAACCAUACUGUGUCAUUUGUGUUAGUCAAAAUAACAAGUCGACAUUCAUAUAACAAAAUAGAGUUUUCAAACCCUCCUAACCUUUUAAAUCCCUAUUACUGGCAUUUAUGGUUGGCAGGAAGUUGGCAUCCCCCUUUUACAGAG
This 793-nucleotide small RNA is filed under the name Pongo abelii (Sumatran orangutan). RNAcentral's name for it is "retained intron". Lineage: Eukaryota; Metazoa; Chordata; Mammalia; Primates; Hominidae. The record is from RNAcentral.